GUGGGGAAUAUUGGGCAAUGGGCGAAAGCCUGACCCAGCAACGCCGCGUGAAGGAAGAAGGUCUUCGGAUCGUAAACUUCUAUCCUUGGUGAAGAUAAUGACGGUAGCCGAGAAGGAAGCCCCGGCUAACUACGUGCCAGCAGCCGCGGUAAUACGUAGGGGGCAAGCGUUGUCCGGAAUGAUUGGGCGUAAAGGGCGCGUAGGCGGCCUGGUAAGUCUGGAGUGAAAGUCCUGCUUUUAAGGUGGGAAUUGCUUUGGAUACUGUCGGGCUUGAGUGCAGGAGAGGUAAGUGGAAUUCCCGGUGUAGCGGUGAAAUGCGUAGAGAUCGGGAGGAACACCAGUGGCGAAGGCGGCGCUCUGGGCCGGUACUGACACUGAGGAGCGAAAGCGUGGGUAGCAAACAGGAUUAGAAACCCCUGUAGUCC
This 425-nucleotide ribosomal RNA is filed under the name uncultured bacterium. Its description in RNAcentral is "partial 16S ribosomal RNA". It matches the Rfam family "Bacterial small subunit ribosomal RNA", at positions 354 to 796 of the family's 1533-position model. The record is from RNAcentral.